This 334-nucleotide unclassified non-coding RNA is filed under the name soil metagenome. Its description in RNAcentral is "partial contains 5.8S ribosomal RNA, internal transcribed spacer 2, and large subunit ribosomal RNA". The stretch from base 1 to 120 matches the Rfam family "5.8S ribosomal RNA", at positions 35 to 154 of the family's 154-position model. The record is from RNAcentral.
GAUGAAGAACGCAGCGAAAUGCGAUAAGUAAUGUGAAUUGCAGAAUUCAGUGAAUCAUCGAAUCUUUGAACGCACAUUGCGCCCGCCAGUAUUCUGGCGAGCAUGCCUGUACGAGCGUCAUUUCAACCAUCAAGCCCCAGGCUUGUGUUGGAGCCCUGCGGCUGCCGCAGCCUCCCAAAACCAGUGGCGGGCUCGCUAUCACACCGAGUGCAGUAGUUUACUCUUCGCUCAGGGCGUGUGGCGGGUGCUAGCCGUGAAACCCCCAACUUCUCAAGGUUGACCUCGGAUCAGGUAGGAAUACCCGCUGAACUUAAGCAUAUCAAUAAGCGGAGGA